ACAUAUUAAUGGCAACGAUUU
Molecule: microRNA, 21 nt
Filed under: Salicornia europaea (common glasswort)
Lineage: Eukaryota; Viridiplantae; Streptophyta; Magnoliopsida; Caryophyllales; Amaranthaceae
Description: seu-miR11037
Source: miRBase by way of RNAcentral